CACGUAGGGGGCGAGCGUUGUCCGGAUUUAUUGGGCGUAAAGAGCUCGUAGGCGGCUCGGUAAGUCAGGUGUGAAAACUCUAGGCUCAACCUAGAGACGCCACCUGAUACUGCUGUGGCUAGAGUCCGGUAGGGGAGCAUGGAAUUCCUGGUGUAGCGGUGAAAUGCGCAGAUAUCAGGAGGAACACCAGUGGCGAAGGCAGAUCUCUGGGCCGUAACUGACGCUGAGGAGCGAAAGCAUGGGGAGCGAACAGG
Molecule: ribosomal RNA, 254 nt
Filed under: uncultured bacterium
Lineage: Bacteria
Description: partial 16S ribosomal RNA
Rfam family: Bacterial small subunit ribosomal RNA
Source: RNAcentral